CGUAAACAAAGAAACCAUAAAAAUGUUUUUGUAGUUUUCAGUUUCUCAAAUAAGAAGUUCUAUGCAGUAAAAAUGGUUUUUAAUGGCGUGCUUUUAUUCCUGAGAUACUUUUUUUAAUUGGCUUUUCACCCCUUGUUAUAAUGUUUUCAGUUUGUGAAAGCGAUCUAUUAAAACCCGUAUUUGAUACCGCCAUGUGCCAAACAGUGAAGCAGUUUUCACUCUGACCAGAGAAUCUUAUAACAAAUUAAUUGUGUGGUGGGAGGAGGAUAGCCUUGCAGUUUCAUUAAGCACUCCGGAUUAGAGGUGGCUCGCAGUCUCCCUGCGGAGAGGUCAGCAUGGCGCAUGUUGCUGUCCCACGAGAGACUGUGGCAAGAAAUCUAGCCAGGACCCACAAAGCACG
Molecule: non-coding RNA, 400 nt
Organism: Pelobates cultripes (western spadefoot toad)
Lineage: Eukaryota; Metazoa; Chordata; Amphibia; Anura; Pelobatidae
Source: the annotation of a GenBank genome assembly